This 65-nucleotide transfer RNA is filed under the name Balta curvirostris. Its description in RNAcentral is "tRNA-Leu". Lineage: Eukaryota; Metazoa; Arthropoda; Insecta; Blattodea; Pseudophyllodromiidae. The record is from RNAcentral.
ACUAUUUUGGCAGAAAAGUGUAGUAAAUUUAGAAUUUACUUAUAUAGAAUAUUCUAUAGGUAGUA